GGCCGGGGCCGGGAAAGAUCCUCGGAGUGCAGACCAUCGGCAGGCUGGACCAGGAUACGACGGGACUGUUGCUGCUGAGCGAUGACGGCAGUUUCAUCCACCGCGUGAGUUCUCCGAAGAAACAAAUACAAAAGACUUACAGAGUGCACGCCAAGUAUGAUCUUUCUCAACAGCAGAAGGAUCAGCUGCUGAAAGGCGUCGUCUUGAACGAUGAUCCAAAGCCAGUGAUCGCUGCGGACUGUGUGCUGCAGGAAGGUUCGAUCUUCGACCUCACGGUCACGGAGGGCAAGUACCACCAGAUCAAGCGGAUGGUAGCUGCCGUGGGCAACCGUGUCAGCAANNNNNNNNNNNNNNNNNNNNNNNNNNNNNNNNNNNNNNNNNNNNNNNNNNUGGGGGGACCACCCUCCAAGCCUAAGUACUCGUGCAUGACCGAUAGCGAACCAGUACCGUGAGGGAAAGGUGAAAAGCACCCCGACAAGGGGAGUGAAAGAGAACCUGAAACCGAAUGCCUACAAACAGUGGGAGCCAUCAUUGGUGACCGCGUACCUUUUGUAUAAUGGGUCAGCGACUUAGUCUGGCGAGCGAGCUUAAGCCGAUAGGUGGAGGCGUAGCGAAAGCGAGUCUGAACAGGGCGUUCAGUUCGUCGGAUUAGACCCGAAACCGAGUGAUCUAGCCAUGAGCAGGCUGAAGGUGCGGUAACACGCACUGAAGGGCCGAACCCGCAUCUGUUGCAAUAGAUUGGGAUGACUUGUGGCUAGGGGUGAAAGGCCAAUCAAACUCGGAAAUAGCUGGUUCUCCGCGAAAUCUAUUUAGGUAGAGCGUCGGAUGAAUACUCCAGGGGGUAGAGCACUGGAUGGGCUAGGGGGACUCACCGUCUUACCAAACCCAAUCAAACUCCGAAUACCUGGAAGUACUAUCCGGCAGACACACGGCGGGUGCUAACGUCCGUCGUGAAGAGGGAAACAACCCUGACCGACAGCUAAGGUCCCCAAGUUAUGGCUAAGUGGGAAAGGAUGUGAGAAUCCCAAAACAACCAGGAUGUUGGCUUAGAAGCAGCCAUCAUUUAAAGAAAGCGUAACAGCUCACUGGUCUAGAUUUAAGGGUUCUUGCGCCGAAAAUGUAACGGGGCUCAAGCCAUACACCGAAGCUUCGGGUUUACGCCUCUGGCGUAAGCGGUAGCGGAGCGUUCCCUAGGCCGUUGAAGGAGGACCCGUGAGGGCCUCUGGAGGUAUGGGAAGUGCGAAUGCUGACAUGAGUAACGAUNAAGGGUGUGAGAGACACCCUCGCCGAAAGUCCAAGGGUUCCUGCUUAAAGUUAAUCUGAGCAGGGUGAGCCGGCCCCUAAGGCGAGUCAGAGAUGCGUAGCUGAUGGGAAGCAGUUAAUAUUCCUGCACCGUCGUUAGAUGCGAUGGGGGGACGGAUCGCGGAAGCUUGUCCGGGUGUUGGAUGUCCCGGUUACUGUGUCAUAGAAGGCUGUUAGGCAAAUCCGGCAGCGUAAUUCAAGGGUGUGAGACGAGCGAACUUGUUCGCGAAGCAAUCGGAAGUGGUUCCAAGAAAAGCCUCUAAGCUUCAGUCUAACGAGACCGUACCGCAAACCGACACAGGUGGGCGAGAUGAGUAUUCUAAGGCGCUUGAGAGAACUCGGGAGAAGGAACUCGGCAAAUUGGUACCGUAACUUCGGGAUAAGGUACGCCCUUGUAGUUUGACUGGCCUGCGCCAGAAGGACGAAAAGGUUGCAAUAAAAUGGUGGCUGCGACUGUUUAAUAAAAACACAGCACUCUGCAAACACGAAAGUGGACGUAUAGGGUGUGACGCCUGCCCGGUGCUGGAAGAUUAAAUGAUGGGGUGCAAGCUCUUGAUUGAAGUCCCAGUAAACGGCGGCCGUAACUAUAACGGUCCUAAGGUAGCGAAAUUCCUUGUCGGGUAAGUUCCGACCUGCACGAAUGGCGUAACGAUGGCCACACUGUCUCCUCCCGAGACUCAGCGAAGUUGAAAUGUUUGUGAUGAUGCAAUCUACCCGCGGCUAGACGGAAAGACCCCAUGAACCUUUACUGUAGCUUUGCAUUGGACUUUGAAUCAAUCUGUGUAGGAUAGGUGGGAGGCUUUGAAGUAGGGACGCCAGUUCCUAUGGAGCCAUNNNNNNNNNNNNNNNNNNNNNNNNNNNNNNNNNNNNNNNNNNNNNNNNNNUCAGCGAAGUUGAAAUGUUUGUGAUGAUGCAAUCUCCCCGCGGAAAGACGGAAAGACCCCAUGAACCUUUACUGUAGCUUUGUAUUGGACUUUGAACGGAUCUGUGUAGGAUAGGUGGGAGGCUUUGAAGUGAGGACGCUAGUUCUCAUGGAGCCAACGUUGAAAUACCACCCUGGUGCGUUUGAGGUUCUAACCUAGGUCCCUUAUCGGGAUCGGGGACAGUGCAUGGUAGGCAGUUUGACUGGGGCGGUCUCCUCCCAAAGCGUAACGGAGGAGUUCGAAGGUACGCUAGGUACGGUCGGACAUCGUGCUAAUAGUGCAAUGGCAUAAGCGUGCUUAACUGCGAGACUGACAAGUCGAGCAGAUGCGAAAGCAGGACAUAGUGAUCCGGUGGUUCUGUAUGGAAGGGCCAUCGCUCAACGGAUAAAAGGUACUCUGGGGAUAACAGGCUGAUACCGCCCAAGAGUUCAUAUCGACGGCGGUGUUUGGCACCUCGAUGUCGGCUCAUCUCAUCCUGGGGCUGUAGCCGGUCCCAAGGGUAUGGCUGUUCGCCAUUUAAAGAGGUACGUGAGCUGGGUUUAAAACGUCGUGAGACAGUUUGGUCCCUAUCUUCCGUGGGCGCUGCAGAUUUGAGGAAGCCUGCUCCUAGUACGAGAGGACCGGAGUGGACACACCUCUGGUGUAUCGGUUGUCACGCCAGUGGCAUUGCCGAGUAGCUAAGUGUGGAAGAGAUAACCGCUGAAAGCAUCUAAGCGGGAAACUCGUUUCAAGAUGAGAUCUGCCGGGGCCUUGAGCCCCCUGAAGAGUCGUUCAAGACCAGGACGUUGAUAGGCUGGGUGUGGAAGGCGUGCAAGCGCUUAAGCUAACCAGUACUAAUUGCUCGUGCGGCUUGACCCU
Non-coding RNA from Oryza sativa (Asian cultivated rice), 3083 nucleotides. The record is from Rfam. Lineage: Eukaryota; Viridiplantae; Streptophyta; Magnoliopsida; Poales; Poaceae.